CUCUCCUCAGUCGUGGGCGUUUUGUCGUUCGCAUCCUCACGAGGACCAUUUUAUUGCUCAGAUACAUAAUUUCUAUUGGAACAUAAGGAAGUGGACAAGCAGAGCGAAAACUUGAAACUUGAAAGAUUAAGAAAAGGGUUAAAUUUAUUUGAAUCCGAGCCCAAGUCCUUCUGGCUCCAAAAUUCAAGGCCUUUCACCAAAGAAACCCAAAAACCUGGCUGACUUGAACUAGCUGGUUACCCCUGUGAGUGGCCACAACCUACUCGUCCUCACUACCUGAAUUUCUGAAUAAUACUCAUCUGGGAAUCCAGGGAUGAUGACCCUCUCAAGGUGAAAUGAAGUAACGAGAGAUGAAGUGCAAUCCCGUAGGUGACACGGGAAGUGGCAGAAACAUACUUUGAAAGUUUUGAUCUUGAAAUCUCUGUCUGCAGUCACCUUCCACAUCCAGAACCCCGUUUUCCUGUCUGGGUGCAACGUUGUGUUAAUUUGCCUCUUUCAAGAAGGAAUAUCUCUAAAGAUGGGGGAAUGGGAGUCCUCAGAGGAUGCUGUCUUCCAAAACUCAUGUCAUGUAAGAGAAACUUCUGUGAAAGCCAAAAAGGAAAUGAAACAUGACUAAUUAAGCAUGUAACCUAA
Prionailurus viverrinus (fishing cat) is the source of this 633-nucleotide long non-coding RNA. RefSeq lists it as uncharacterized. The transcript is spliced from 5 exons. The record is from RefSeq and is a predicted model, not a curated record. Lineage: Eukaryota; Metazoa; Chordata; Mammalia; Carnivora; Felidae.